RNAcentral lists this ribosomal RNA (465 nucleotides) under uncultured bacterium. RNAcentral's name for it is "partial 16S ribosomal RNA". It matches the Rfam family "Bacterial small subunit ribosomal RNA", at positions 28 to 507 of the family's 1533-position model. The record is from RNAcentral.
GACGAACGCUGGCGGCGUGCUUAACACAUGCCAGUCGAACGGAAAGGCCCUGCUUGCAGGGUACUCGAGUGGCGAACGGGUGAGUAACACGUGGGUGAUCUGCCCUGCACUUCGGGAUAAGCCUGGGAAACUGGGUCUAAUACCGGAUAGGAGCCAUUUUUAGUGUGAUGGUUGGAAAGUUUUUUCGGUGUAGGAUGAGCUCGCGGCCUAUCAGCUUGUUGGUGGGGUAAUGGCCUACCAAGGCGGCGACGGGUAGCCGGCCUGAGAGGGUGGACGGCCACAUUGGGACUGAGAUACGGCCCAGACUCCUACGGGAGGCAGCAGUGGGGAAUAUUGCACAAUGGGCGCAAGCCUGAUGCAGCGACGCCGCGUGGAGGAUGACGGCCUUCGGGUUGUAAACUCCUUUCGCUAGGGACGAAGCUUUUUGUGACGGUACCUAGAUAAGAAGCACCGGCUAACUACGUG